This 840-nucleotide ribosomal RNA is filed under the name Triticum aestivum (bread wheat). RNAcentral describes it as "partial small subunit ribosomal RNA". Lineage: Eukaryota; Viridiplantae; Streptophyta; Magnoliopsida; Poales; Poaceae. The record is from RNAcentral.
AUGACAGGAUCUAGAGUCAAUUCAUGGGGUUUGUCGAUCGUGGGAGACGUGCCAUCACCUAUGCAAAUACCACAACCGUCACAAAAGGUGCACAAACAUCCACAUGCACAUGAUCAGGUUAAUGUUUCUAUACCACCAUUUAAUGGCCGUUUUAGACCUGAUUUAUAUAUUGAAUGGGAGUUUGACAUAAAUAAUAUAUUGGCUUCCAAUAAUUUUGAUGAACGUAAAAAAGUUAAGGUUGCGGUUGGUUCUUUCACUGGUUAUGCUAUAGUUUGGUGGAGUGAAUAUUGUUGGUUACACCCUAAUGAUAUACCUACUACUUGGGAUGAUUUGAAACUUGCCAUGCGACAUACAUUCCUUCCCACUUAUUAUACUCGUGACAUGAUUAAAAAGUUGCAACAUUUAAAACAAGGUAGUGACACCGUAACGACAUAUUAUGAUACUUUACAAACUACCUUGCUGCAUUCCUCUUUAGUAGAAAGUGAAGAAGAUUUUAUGGAUAGAUUUUGGGGAGGAUUAAAUCAUGACAUUCAGGAGAUACUAAUUCAUGAAGAGUGUUAUCCUAUGGAUCAUUUGUUUCAUAUUGCUUGCAAAGCUGAACAGGAAAUAAAACGACGUGCUUCCCACAAGGAGAACAAGCGCGAGAUGCACAUUCCAAGAGUUGAUACGGUUGUCCCUUCAACUACUAGGCAUACUAUGACAACCACAUCCGUUGUUGUGAGGACUACAUCACCUCCACCAUGUGGCACAUCAUCACCGAGAGUGCCUACAUCAUUUGAGUUGAUCAUAAGAGGUAAUGACAAAGAUACUAAUCUUCCACCACCACAUGAGUAUGAUUAA